RNAcentral lists this ribosomal RNA (253 nucleotides) under uncultured bacterium. Its description in RNAcentral is "partial 16S ribosomal RNA". It matches the Rfam family "Bacterial small subunit ribosomal RNA", at positions 524 to 776 of the family's 1533-position model. The record is from RNAcentral.
UACGAAGGGGGCUAGCGUUGCUCGGAAUCACUGGGCGUAAAGCGUACGUAGGCGGACUCUUAAGUCGGUGGUGAAAUCCUGGAGCUCAACUCCAGAACUGCCUUCGAUACUGAGAGUCUCGAGUCCGGGAGAGGUGAGUGGAACUGCGAGUGUAGAGGUGAAAUUCGUAGAUAUUCGCAAGAACACCAGUGGCGAAGGCGGCUCACUGGCCCGGUACUGACGCUGAGGUGCGAAAGCGUGGGGAGCGAACAGG